Molecule: ribosomal RNA, 425 nt
Filed under: uncultured bacterium
Lineage: Bacteria
Description: bacterial SSU rRNA
Rfam family: Bacterial small subunit ribosomal RNA
Source: RNAcentral
GGGGAAUAUUGGACAAUGGGCGAAAGCCUGAUCCAGCCAUGCCGCGUGUGUGAAGAAGGUCUUCGGAUUGUAAAGCACUUUAAGUUGGGAGGAAGGGUUGUAGAUUAAUACUCUGCAAUUUUGACGUUACCGACAGAAUAAGCACCGGCUAACUCUGUGCCAGCAGCCGCGGUAAUACAGAGGGUGCAAGCGUUAAUCGGAAUUACUGGGCGUAAAGCGCGCGUAGGUGGUUUGUUAAGUUGGAUGUGAAAGCCCCGGGCUCAACCUGGGAACUGCAUUCAAAACUGACAAGCUAGAGUAUGGUAGAGGGUGGUGGAAUUUCCUGUGUAGCGGUGAAAUGCGUAGAUAUAGGAAGGAACACCAGUGGCGAAGGCGACCACCUGGACUGAUACUGACACUGAGGUGCGAAAGCGUGGGGAGCAAAC